GACGAACGCUGGCGGCGUGCUUAAUACAUGCAAGUCGAACGGACAGGCCCUGCUUUUGUGGGGUGCUCGAGUGGCGAACGGGUGAGUAACACGUGAGUAAACUGUACUUGUCUUUGGGAUAACUUCAGGAAACUGGGGCUCAUACCGGGUAGGAGCUCCUGCUGCAUGGUGGGGGUUGGUAAGUUUCGGCGGUUGGGGCUAGACUCGCGGGUUAUCCGCUUGUUGGUGGGGUAGUGGCUUACCAAGGCUGUGACGGGUAGCCGGCCUGGGAGGGUGACCGGCCACAUUGGGACUGAGAUACGGCCCAGACUCCUACGGGAGGCAGCAGUGGGGAGUAUUGCACAAUGGGCGGAAGCCUGAGGCAGCAGCGCCGCGUGCGGGAUGACGGCCUUCUGGUGGAAAACCGCUUUCGCCUGUGACGAAGCGUGAGUGACGGUAAUGGGUAAAGAAGCACCGGCUAACUACGUG
Molecule: ribosomal RNA, 468 nt
Filed under: uncultured bacterium
Lineage: Bacteria
Description: partial 16S ribosomal RNA
Rfam family: Bacterial small subunit ribosomal RNA
Source: RNAcentral